CCUACGGGUGGCAGCAGUGGGGAAUAUUGCGCAAUGGGCGAAAGCCUGACGCAGCGACGCCGCGUGAGGGAUGAAGGUCUUCGGAUCGUAAACCUCUGUCAGCAGGGAAGAACGGUCACUGUGCUAAUCAGCCGUGAAUUGACGGUACCUGCAAAGGAAGCACCGGCUAACUCCGUGCCAGCAGCCGCGGUAAUACGGAGGGUGCGAGCGUUAAUCGGAGUUACUGGGCGUAAAGCGCUCGUAGGCGGUAUGUCAAGUCAAUGGUGAAAUCCCCGGGCUCAACGUGGGAACUGCCUGUGAAACUGGCAAACUGGAGUGUGUGAGAGGAUAGUAGAAUUCCAGGUGUAGGGGUGAAAUGCGUAGAUAUCUGGAGGAACAUCAGUGGCGAAGGCGACUAUCUGGCACGUAACUGACGCUGAGGUGCGAAAGCGUGGGUAGCAAACAGGAUUAGAUACCCUAGUAGUC
Molecule: ribosomal RNA, 465 nt
Filed under: uncultured bacterium
Lineage: Bacteria
Description: partial 16S ribosomal RNA
Rfam family: Bacterial small subunit ribosomal RNA
Source: RNAcentral